GGAGAAGGGCUGUAGUUCAGUGGUAGAGCAUCUGCUUUGCAUGCAAAAGGAGGGUCCCAGGUUCAAACUGCUGCAGCAUCUCCA
Podarcis lilfordi (Lilford's wall lizard) is the source of this 84-nucleotide non-coding RNA. The record is from the annotation of a GenBank genome assembly. NCBI's taxonomy places the organism in Eukaryota, Metazoa, Chordata, Lepidosauria, Squamata, Lacertidae.